This 465-nucleotide ribosomal RNA is filed under the name Vreelandella stevensii. Its description in RNAcentral is "partial 16S ribosomal RNA". It matches the Rfam family "Bacterial small subunit ribosomal RNA", at positions 338 to 795 of the family's 1533-position model. Lineage: Bacteria; Pseudomonadati; Pseudomonadota; Gammaproteobacteria; Oceanospirillales; Halomonadaceae. The record is from RNAcentral.
CCUACGGGAGGCAGCAGUGGGGAAUAUUGGACAAUGGGGGGAACCCUGAUCCAGCCGUGCCGCGUGUGUGAAGAAGGCCCUCGGGUUGUAAAGCACUUUCAGUGAGGAAGAACGCCUGGUGGUUAAUACCCAUCAGGAAAGACAUCACUCACAGAAGAAGCACCGGCUAACUCCGUGCCAGCAGCCGCGGUAAUACGGAGGGUGCGAGCGUUAAUCGGAAUUACUGGGCGUAAAGCGCGCGUAGGUGGCUUGAUAAGCCGGUUGUGAAAGCCCCGGGCUCAACCUGGGAACGGCAUCCGGAACUGUCAAGCUAGAGUGCAGGAGAGGAAGGUAGAAUUCCCGGUGUAGCGGUGAAAUGCGUAGAGAUCGGGAGGAAUACCAGUGGCGAAGGCGGCCUUCUGGACUGACACUGACACUGAGGUGCGAAAGCGUGGGUAGCAAACAGGAUUAGAUACCCGGGUAGUC